UACGGAGGGUGCAAGCGUUAAUCGGAAUUACUGGGCGUAAAGCGUGCGUAGGCGGUUAGUUAAGUCUGUCGUGAAAGCCCCGGGCUCAACCUGGGAAUGGCGAUGGAUACUGGCAAGCUGGAGUGUGUCAGAGGAUGGCGGAAUUCCCGGUGUAGCGGUGAAAUGCGUAGAGAUCGGGAGGAACAUCAGUGGCGAAGGCGGCCAUCUGGGACAACACUGACGCUGAGGCACGAAAGCGUGGGGAGCAAACAGG
Molecule: ribosomal RNA, 253 nt
Filed under: uncultured bacterium
Lineage: Bacteria
Description: partial 16S ribosomal RNA
Rfam family: Bacterial small subunit ribosomal RNA
Source: RNAcentral